This 1223-nucleotide ribosomal RNA is filed under the name metagenome. RNAcentral describes it as "SSU rRNA". It matches the Rfam family "Eukaryotic small subunit ribosomal RNA", at positions 346 to 1404 of the family's 1831-position model. The record is from RNAcentral.
AUGGUGGUAACGGGUAACGGAGAAUCAGGGUUUGAUUCCGGAGAAGGAGCCUGAGAAACGGCUACUACUUCCAAGGAAGGCAGCAGGCGCGCAAAUUACCCAAUCCCGACACGGGGAGGUAGUGACAAAAAAUAACAAUACCGGUCUUAUUAAAGUCUGGUAAUUGGAAUGAGUACAAUCUAAAACCUUUAACGAGUAUCAAUUGGAGGGCAAGUCUGGUGCCAGCAGCCGCGGUAAUUCCAGCUCCAAUAGCAUAUAUUAAAGUUGUUGCAGUUAAAAAGCUCGUAGUUGGAUUUUGAUGAUACUUUUCAUAACCUGCCUUGUAUAAGGUAUGUUUGUUGUGAAUCGUACAUCUCCUUACUAGACUUUCAUGGUUGUACUUAAUUGAAUGACCAUUUCAUCUUGAUUCGUUGGGAUGAGUGAUGAGUAGACCUAUUGGAUUCGAGAUUGUGGAUGAAUUUCUUCGGAGAUUGGUUCUGCUUGGAUUCAGUAACUAUUUAUUAGAAAUCUAGUUCAUUUACUUUGAGUAAAUUAGAGUGUUCAAGGCAAGCAAAUUUGUUUCUGCAAUGAAUACUAUUAGCAUGGGAUAAUGGAACAGGACACGUAUUCUAGUUUUCCGUUGGUUUCUAGAAUUUUUAGUCGCUCUUUGGAGUGAUGAAGUGUAAUGAUUAAAAGGGACAGUUGGGGGCAUUCGUAUUUCAUUGUCAGAGGUGAAAUUCUUGGAUUUAUGAAAGACGAACUUCUGCGAAAGCAUUUGUCAAAGAUGUUUUCAUUAAUCAAGAACGAAAGUUAGGGGAUCGAAGACGAUCAGAUACCGUCGUAGUCUUAACCAUAAACUAUGCCGACCAGGGAUUGGAAGAUGUAUUAUCCUAUUUAAACGUAGGAAAACUCCUUCAGCACCUUACGAGAAAUCAUAAGUCUUUGGGUUCUGGGGGGAGUAUGGUCGCAAGGCUGAAACUUAAAGGAAUUGACGGAAGGGCACCACCAGGAGUGGAGCCUGCGGCUUAAUUUGACCCAACACGGGAAAACUCACCAGGUCCAGACACAGUUAGGAUUGACAGAUUGAGAGCUCUUUCUUGAUUCUGUGGGUGGUGGUGCAUGGCCGUUCUUAGUUGGUGGAGUGAUUUGUCUGGUUAAUUCCGAUAACGAACGAGACCUCAGCCUGCUAAUUAGUGAUGCAAAUGAUUACAUCCGUAAGGAGAGGGUUUCUGUUAAAGCUUUGA